GGACAAUCUGCCCUGAAGUGGAGGAUAAUCCCGGGAAACUGGGGGUAAUACUCCAUAGUUCGUGAUGACUGGAAUGUUUUGCGAACGAAAGAUCCGUCGCUUCAGGAUGAGUCUGCGGCCGAUUAGGUAGUUGUUGGGGUAACGGCCCAACAAGCCUGUCAUCGGUACGGGUUGUGGGAGCAAGAGCCCGGAGAUGGAUUCUGAGACACGAAUCCAGGCCCUACGGGGCGCAGCAGGCGCGAAAACUUUACCAUGCGGGCAACCGUGAUAAGGAAACCCCGAGUGCCAGCACAGGCUGGCUGUCCGCCAGUGUAAAUAACUGGUGAAGAAAGGGCCGGGCAAGACCGGUGCCAGCCGCCGCGGUAAUACCGGCGGCUCGAGUGGUGGCCACUAUUACUGGGCUUAAAGGGUCCGUAGCUGGAUAUACAAGUCUCUUGAGAAAUCCGCCGGCUUAACCGGUGGGCGUUCAGGGGAAACUGUAUUUCUAGGGACCGGGAGAGGUGAGAGGUACUGCCGGGGUAGGAGUGAAAUCCUGUAAUCCCGGUGGGACCACCUAUGGCGAAGGCAUCUCACCAGAACGGGUCCGACAGUGAGGGACGAAAGCUGGGGGAGCAAACCGGAUUAGAUACCCGGGUAGUCCCAGCUGUAAACGAUGCGCGUUAGGUGUGUCAGUGACCACGUGUCACUGAGGUGCCGAAGGGAAACCGUGAAACGCGCCGCCUGGGGAGUACGGUCGCAAGGCUGAAACUUAAAGGAAUUGGCGGGGGAGCAC
Molecule: ribosomal RNA, 772 nt
Filed under: uncultured archaeon
Lineage: Archaea
Description: bacterial SSU rRNA
Rfam family: Archaeal small subunit ribosomal RNA
Source: RNAcentral